UACGUAGGAGGCGAGCGUUGUCCGGAUUUACUGGGCGUAAAGAGCGCGUAGGCGGCUGGCUAAGUCUGGUGUGAAAUCUCCCGGCCCAACUGGGAGGGGACACCAGAUACUGGCUGGCUUGAGUGCGGCAGAGGGAUGUGGAAUUCCCGGUGUAGUGGUGAAAUGCGUUGAUAUCGGGAGGAACACCAGUGGCGAAGGCGGCAUCCUGGGCCGUAACUGACGCUGAGGCGCGAAAGCGUGGGGAGCAAACCGG
This 253-nucleotide ribosomal RNA is filed under the name uncultured bacterium. RNAcentral describes it as "partial 16S ribosomal RNA". It matches the Rfam family "Bacterial small subunit ribosomal RNA", at positions 524 to 776 of the family's 1533-position model. The record is from RNAcentral.